This 568-nucleotide ribosomal RNA is filed under the name uncultured bacterium. RNAcentral's name for it is "bacterial SSU rRNA". It matches the Rfam family "Bacterial small subunit ribosomal RNA", at positions 28 to 635 of the family's 1533-position model. The record is from RNAcentral.
GAUGAACGCUGGCGGUAUGCUUUACACAUGCAAGUCGUACGAGAGUUUUUAACUCAAGUGGCGGACGGGUGAGUAACACGUAAGGAUUUGCCUUUAGGAGGGGGACAACAACUCGAAACGGUUGCUAAUACCCCAUAUGCUUUCGAGUGAAAUGGAUUUUUCCGCCUAAAGAGAAGCUUGCGGCUGAUUAGCUUGUUGGUGAGGUAAUGGCUCACCAAGGCGACGAUCAGUAUCUGGUUUGAGAGGACGAUCAGACACACUGGAACUGAGACACGGUCCAGACUCCUACGGGGGGCAGCAGUGGGGAAUUUUCCGCAAUGGGCGAAAGCCUGACGGAGCAAUACCGCGUGAGGGAUGACGGCCUAUGGGUUGUAAACCUCUUUUUUCAGGGAGGAAGAAAAUGACGUGUACCUGAAGAAUAAGCAUCGGCUAACUCCGUGCCAGCAGCCGCGGUAAGACGGAGGAUGCAAGUGUUAUCCGGAAUCACUGGGCGUAAAGCGUCUGUAGGCGGUCAAAUAAGUCAACUGUUAAAUCUUGAGGCUCAACCUCAAAAUCGCAGUCGAAACUA